Molecule: unclassified non-coding RNA, 332 nt
Filed under: soil metagenome
Description: partial contains 5.8S ribosomal RNA, internal transcribed spacer 2, and large subunit ribosomal RNA
Rfam family: 5.8S ribosomal RNA (bases 1-120)
Source: RNAcentral
GAUGAAGAACGUAGCGAAAUGCGAUAAGUAGUGUGAAUUGCAGAAUUCAGUGAAUCAUCGAAUCUUUGAACGCACAUUGCGCCCUUUGGUAUUCCUUAGGGCAUGCCUGUUCGAGCGUCAUUUAAACCUUCAAGCUAAGCUUGGUGUUGGGUGACUGUCCGCUUCACGGCGGACUCGCCUCAAAAUUAUUGGCGGCCGGUACAUUGGCUUCGAACGCAGCAGAAACGCGAACUCGGGCCCGUCGUAUUGGCUCCCAGAAGCUAUCUUCACAAUUUUGACCUCGGAUCAGGUAGGGAUACCCGCUGAACUUAAGCAUAUCAAUAAGCGGAGGA